RNAcentral lists this ribosomal RNA (497 nucleotides) under uncultured bacterium. RNAcentral's name for it is "partial 16S ribosomal RNA". It matches the Rfam family "Bacterial small subunit ribosomal RNA", at positions 28 to 507 of the family's 1533-position model. The record is from RNAcentral.
GAUGAACGCUGGCGGCGUGCCUAAUACAUGCAAGUCGAGCGAACGGACGAGAAGCUUGCUUCUCUGUUGUUAGCGGCGGACGGGUGAGUAACACGUGGAUAACCUACCUAUAAGACUGGGAUAACUUCGGGAAACCGGAGCUAAUACCGGAUAAUAUUUUGAACCGCAUGGUUCAAAAGUGAAAGACGGUCUUGCUGUCACUUAUAGAUGGAUCCGCGCUGCAUUAGCUAGUUGGUAAGGUAACGGCUUACCAAGGCAACGAGGCAUAGCCGACCUGAGAGGGUGAUCGGCCACACUGGAACUGAGACACGGUCCAGACUCCUACGGGAGGCAGCAGUAGGGAAUCUGCCGCAAUGGGCGAAAGCCUGACGGAGCAACGCAGCGUGAGUGAUGAAGGUCUUCGGAUCGUAAAACUCUGUUAUUAGGGAAGAACAUAUGUGUAAGUAACUGUGCACAUCUUGACGGUACCUAAUCAGAAAGCCACGGCUAACUACGUG